Molecule: ribosomal RNA, 1038 nt
Filed under: uncultured crenarchaeote
Lineage: Archaea; Thermoproteati; Thermoproteota
Description: bacterial SSU rRNA
Rfam family: Archaeal small subunit ribosomal RNA
Source: RNAcentral
UGCUCGAUUAUGGUAGUUGGUGAGGUAACGGAUCACCAAGCCGAUAAUCGAUAGGGGCCGUGAGAGCGGUUGCCCCGAGAUGGGUACUGAGACAGCGACCCAGGCCUUACGAGGCGCAGCAGGCGCGAGACCUCCGCAAUACACGCAAGUGUGACGGGGUUACCCAAAGUGUCCUUAUUGGACUGUGGCGGGUGAGUAAUGUUCCCUGCUAGAAAGGAGAGGGCAAGGCUGGUGCCAGCCGCCGCGGUAAAACCAGCUCUUCAAGUGGUCGGGAUAAUUAUUGGGCUUAAAGUGUCCGUAGCCGGUUUAGUAAGUUCCUGGUAAAACCGGGCAGCUUAACUGUCCGUAUGCUAGGAAUACUGCUAUGCUAGAGGGCGGGAGAGGUCUGAGGUACUACAGGGGUAGGGGUGAAAUCUUAUAAUCCUUGUAGGACCACCAGUGGCGAAAGCGUCAGACUGGAACGCGCCUGACGGUGAGGGACGAAGGCCAGGGGAGCGAACCGGAUUAGAUACCCGGGUAGUCCUGGCCGUAAACGAUGCAUACUAGGCAAUGGUGCGGCCAUGAGCCGCAUCAGUACCGUAGGGAAACCGUUAAGUGUGCCGCCUGGGAAGUACGGUCGCAAGGCUAAAACUUAAAGGAAUUGGCGGGGGAGCACCACAAGGGGUGAAGCCUGCGGUUCAAUUGGACUCAACGCCGGGAAACUUACCAGGGGAGACAGCAGAAUGACAGUCAGGUUGACGACCUUACUCGACGAGCUGAGAGGAGGUGCAUGGCCGUCGCCAGUUCGUGCUGUGAGGUAUCCUGUUAAGUCAGGCAACGAACGAGAUCCGCGCCUUUAUUUGCCAUCAAGAAGUCACGACUUCGUUGGGAACACUAAAGGGACCGCCGUCGAUAAGACGGAGGAAGGAGCGGGCAAAGGCAGGUCAGUAUGCCCCGAAACCCCUGGGCUACACGCGGGCUGCAAUGGUGCGAACAAUGGGCUGUAACUCCGAAAGGUAGAAACCAAUCCCGAAAUCGCAUAUUCAGUGGGGAUUGUCG